UCUUGUAUCUUGCUGAAUUUCCUUAAGAUCAUUAUUUUAAAUUUAUUCUCAUACCAUGAUCCCUUGCAAUUUCCCCAAAUGUGGGAAACUCGACUGCAUAAUUUGUGGUAGUGGGGGACUGCGUUCGCGCUCUCCCCUA
Molecule: small nuclear RNA, 139 nt
Filed under: Carlito syrichta (Philippine tarsier)
Lineage: Eukaryota; Metazoa; Chordata; Mammalia; Primates; Tarsiidae
Description: U1 spliceosomal RNA (ENSTSYG00000022882.2)
Rfam family: U1 spliceosomal RNA
About the family: U1 is a small nuclear RNA (snRNA) component of the spliceosome (involved in pre-mRNA splicing). Its 5' end forms complementary base pairs with the 5' splice junction, thus defining the 5' donor site of an intron.
Source: RNAcentral